AUGGCAGCCUCCCUGCCGUCCCUCUCGCCCGCGCCGACGCCGUCGCCGGCGGCCACCACCUUGGCCAGCAACCUCCUCUCCUUCCCCGCCCCGCGGCCGCGCCUCGCCGCCACGCACCGCCGCGCGGUCGUGGCCGCGGCCUCGUCCAGGCCCCCUCCCCCUCCGCCGCCGUCCCCGGAGGGAGGGGACGAGGAGGUGGAGAGGGCCAUGGGGAUGGACGGUGGCAUCCCCGGGACCUCCGGAGAGCUGCUGCGCCGCGUCUCCUCCCGCGCCUACGGCAUGCGCCGCCACCUCAUGGAGUCGCUCGACUCCCUCGCCUACGACGUGUUGGAGACAAACCCAUGGAGAGAACAACACCCAAAACCAGUCUAUGUGCUGGCUAGAAGAGACAAUCAACUAUGGACAAUGAAAACCCGUAGGAACCGCAGUGAAGUCGAAAGGGAACUUGGAAUGCUUUUCUCAAGGGGAGGAGGUUCAGGGGUUGGGACUAAAUCAAAGUACUCUGGCUCCAAGUUUAGUAUGGUUGUUGAAGAUCUCACAGAGGGAGUACUGGUGUUUGAAGACGAGGACGAUGCUGCAAAGUACUGUGACCUUCUACAGGGCGGUGGUCAAGGAUGCGAGGGAAUUGCAGAGCUAGAGGCUUCAUCAGUUUUCAACAUGUGCCGUCAAAUGAAAGCUCUUGCUGUCCUUUUCCGGCGUGGAAGGAUUCCUCCAACGCCUCAAAGCCUUGAGCGUGACUUGAGGGCAAGAAACCGGUCACUGGAAGACUAG
This 771-nucleotide ribosomal RNA is filed under the name Triticum aestivum (bread wheat). RNAcentral describes it as "partial small subunit ribosomal RNA". The record is from RNAcentral. Lineage: Eukaryota; Viridiplantae; Streptophyta; Magnoliopsida; Poales; Poaceae.